Molecule: unclassified non-coding RNA, 246 nt
Filed under: Ambisporaceae sp.
Lineage: Eukaryota; Fungi; Glomeromycota; Glomeromycetes; Archaeosporales; Ambisporaceae
Description: partial contains 5.8S ribosomal RNA and internal transcribed spacer 2
Rfam family: 5.8S ribosomal RNA (bases 1-71)
Source: RNAcentral
GUGAAUCAUCGAAUUUUUGAACGCAUAUUGCGCUAUCUGGUAUUCCGGAGAGUAUGCCUAUUUGAGGGUCAUUUGAAAUAAUAUAAAUUUUGAGAUUUUCUUUAUAUCAAAAAUGGGUUUGUCGAGCUGUGGUGUGGUGGUCUCCUAAAAUGCAAGACAAGCUCAUUUGUUGGGUUGCGGGAUACUUGCAGUUUCCUCGUGACUUCACAAGAAGUCUUCUAGCUUGGUAAGAAUUUUGCUGGAAAU